GAUGAACGCUGGCGGCGUGCCUAAUACAUGCAAGUCGAGCGAACAGACGAGGAGCUUGCUCCUCUGACGUUAGCGGCGGACGGGUGAGUAACACGUGGAUAACCUACCUAUAAGACUGGGAUAACUUCGGGAAACCGGAUCUAAUACCGGAUAAUAUAUUGAACCGCAUGGUGCAAUAGUGAAAGACGGUUUUGCUGGCACUUAUAGAUGGAUCCGCGCCGCAUUAGCUAGUUGGUAAGGUAACGGCUUACCAAGGCAACGAUGCGUAGACGACCUGAGAGGGUGAUCGGCCACACUGGAACUGAGACACGGUCCAGACUCCUACGGGAGGCAGCAGUAGGGAAUCUUACGCAAUGGGCGAAAGCUUGACGGAGCAACGCCGCGUGAGUGAUGAAGGUGUUCGGAUCGUAAAACCCUGUUAUUAGGGAAGAACAAAUGUGUAAGUAACCAUGCACGUCUUGACGGUACCUAAUCAGAAAGCCACGGCUAACUACGUG
RNAcentral lists this ribosomal RNA (497 nucleotides) under uncultured bacterium. Its description in RNAcentral is "partial 16S ribosomal RNA". It matches the Rfam family "Bacterial small subunit ribosomal RNA", at positions 28 to 507 of the family's 1533-position model. The record is from RNAcentral.